UUUAUGGAGAGUUUGAUCCUGGCUCAGGAUGAACGCUGGCGGCGUGCCUAAUACAUGCAAGUCGAGCGAACGGACGAGAAGCUUGCUUCUCUGAUGUUAGCGGCGGACGGGUGAGUAACACGUGGAUAACCUACCUAUAAGACUGGGAUAACUUCGGGAAACCGGAGCUAAUACCGGAUAAUAUUUUGAACCGCAUGGUUCAAAAGUGAAAGACGGUCUUGCUGUCACUUAUAGAUGGAUCCGCGCUGCAUUAGCUAGUUGGUAAGGUAACGGCUUACCAAGGUAACGAUGCAUAGCCGACCUGAGAGGGUGAUCGGCCACACUGGAACUGAGACACGGUCCAGACUCCUACGGGAGGCAGCAGUAGGGAAUCUUCCGCAAUGGGCGAAAGCCUGACGGAGCAACGCCGCGUGAGUGAUGAAGGUCUUCGGAUCGUAAAACUCUGUUAUUAGGGAAGAACAUAUGUGUAAGUAACUGUGCACAUCUUGACGGUACCUAAUCAGAAAGCCACGGCUAACUACGUGCCAGCAGCCGCGGUAAUACGUAGGUGGCAAGCGUUAUCCGGAAUUAUUGGGCGUAAAGCGCGCGUAGGCGGUUUUUUAAGUUUGAUGUGAAAGCC
RNAcentral lists this ribosomal RNA (619 nucleotides) under Staphylococcus aureus. RNAcentral describes it as "bacterial SSU rRNA". It matches the Rfam family "Bacterial small subunit ribosomal RNA", at positions 1 to 602 of the family's 1533-position model. Lineage: Bacteria; Bacillati; Bacillota; Bacilli; Caryophanales; Staphylococcaceae. The record is from RNAcentral.